Molecule: unclassified non-coding RNA, 173 nt
Filed under: Lectera longa
Lineage: Eukaryota; Fungi; Ascomycota; Sordariomycetes; Glomerellales; Plectosphaerellaceae
Description: partial internal transcribed spacer 2
Source: RNAcentral
CAACCCUCAAGCCCUCGUGGUUUGGUGUUGGAGUCCUACAGUCUUGUAGUCUCCCAAAACCAGUGGCGGACCCGUCGCGGCCCUUCCUUUGCGUAGUAGCAUUCGCCUCGCAUCGGGAGCCCACGGGACUUUCUAGCCUCUAAACCCCCCACAAGUCCGCUCCGGCGGCACAA